Molecule: long non-coding RNA, 909 nt
Filed under: Rhipicephalus microplus (southern cattle tick)
Lineage: Eukaryota; Metazoa; Arthropoda; Arachnida; Ixodida; Ixodidae
Description: uncharacterized LOC119173558, transcript variant X2
Source: RNAcentral
AGGUGCGUGUGUAGUGCAUGUGAACAUUGUUGCGUCUCUUAAUUGCUCAGUAUCGCGCCUGUACACUCACAAUUCUCCAAGAUGUUUGAUUUGGCGAUGAUAAUUAAAAAUUAAUAGUCCCGGUAAGUGCAUGUAAGUACAUCAAUACGAAGGAUACAGCCAAUUUUGAUCCUCACAAGUGGUACCGGGUGUUCUGGAAGGAUAACACACACUGCGGCCACUAUCACGCUCAAGUGAUUAAGCUUUACGGCACCGAGGAUGAUGCAAGGAAUGCAACAGAAAAACGACCAUCCAUACCGCAGACCCGAUUGCGACUCCUCCGAUAGCUGCAGUUCAAAUGAUGUGGACAAUGAGUCGUUUAAAAAACAAAGAACCUUAUCCUUUGCGGGCGUUGCAGCCGCAAGCCUCAAAAACAGAAACGACUUGCACCUUUGCCACCACUAUGUGUUGCCACGCUGGAACGACCACAGCGACCACGGACUGCCCUGAAGUAGCCCACUCAUGUGUGAGGGAGGCUGCACUGCUUAUCAAUUAUGUGCCCACUGACAGAGAGGUGCAUCGGAGCAAAGGAAUUGCCGUUUCCAAGAGGUUGUACAAUCACCCCAUGGGCUUGAAAAGACAGACCCGUUUUGUUCGUGAGGCGGCCGUUACCAUUUUUUAUACAGCAGGCCAAGUCGGUAGAAGUGUUACUGGCGCAGCCUCCAAUCGGUCUAAAGGGGAGGAGAAAUCUCCCUAGGAGAAAGAAACAUAUGUUGUGUUUUCAGCACACCGUUCUGAUUGGAGAGGUUGAGCAAAUGAAGAAGCUCCUCAAUAAAGCGUUGGCAAACAAAAUUAAUGACUUUAUGAAAUCAAAAGAUUAACCAAGGAAUGGCACAUCAAAUAAAAUAUUUUGUUUGAUUUCUGUGUUCA